RNAcentral lists this ribosomal RNA (497 nucleotides) under uncultured bacterium. RNAcentral describes it as "partial 16S ribosomal RNA". It matches the Rfam family "Bacterial small subunit ribosomal RNA", at positions 28 to 507 of the family's 1533-position model. The record is from RNAcentral.
GACGAACGCUGGCGGCGUGCCUAAUACAUGCAAGUUGAGCGCUGAAGGUUGGUCCUUGUACCAACUGGAUGAGCAGCGAACGGGUGAGUAACGCGUGGGGAAUCUGCCUUUGAGCGGGGGACAACAUUUGGAAACGAAUGCUAAUACCGCAUAAAAACUUUAAACACAAGUUUUAAGUUUGAAAGAUGCAAUUGCAUCACUCAAAGAUGAUCCCGCGUUGUAUUAGCUAGUUGGUGAGGUAAAGGCUCACCAAGGCGAUGAUACAUAGCCGACCUGAGAGGGUGAUCGGCCACAUUGGGACUGAGACACGGCCCAAACGCCUACGGGAGGCAGCAGUAGGGAAUCUUCGGCAAUGGACGAAAGUCUGACCGAGCAACGCCGCGUGAGUGAAGAAGGUUUUCGGAUCGUAAAACUCUGUUGGUAGAGAAGAACGUUGGUGAGAGUGGAAAGCUCAUCAAGUGACGGUAACUACACAGAAAGGGACGGCUAACUACGUG